Molecule: ribosomal RNA, 253 nt
Filed under: uncultured bacterium
Lineage: Bacteria
Description: partial 16S ribosomal RNA
Rfam family: Bacterial small subunit ribosomal RNA
Source: RNAcentral
UACAGAGGGUGCGAGCGUUGUCCGGAAUCACUGGGCGUAAAGGGCGCGUAGGCGGCCCGAUAAGUAGGGGGUGAAAUCUUGCGGCUUAACCGCAAGGCUGCCUUCUAAACUGUCGGGCUGGAGCACGGUAGAGGCAGAUGGAAUUCCCGGUGUAGCGGUGGAAUGCGUAGAGAUCGGGAAGGACACCAGUGGCGAAGGCGGUCUGCUGGGCCAGUACUGACGCUGAGGCGCGACAGCGUGGGGAGCAAACAGG